UGGGGGAUAUUGCACAAUGGGCGACAGCCUGAUGCAGCGACGCCGCGUGGGGGAUGAAGGCUUUCGGGAUGUAAACCUCUUUCGCUAUCGAACAAGGUCCGCUUAGGGUGGGUGGAGGGUAGGUGGAGAAGAAGCGCCGGCUAACUACGUGCCAGCAGCCGCGGUAAUACGUAGGGCGCGAGCGUUGGCCGGAAUUAUUGGGCGUAAAGGGCUUGUAGGCGGGGUGUUGCGCCUGCUGUGAAAACGCGGGGCUUCACUUCGCGCGUGCAGUGGGUACGGACAGGCUUGAGUGUGGUAGGGGUGGCUGGGAUUCCAAGUGUAGCGGUGGAAUGCGCAGAUAUCUGGAGGAACGCCGAUGGCGAAGGCAGGUCACUGGGCCAUUACUGACGCUGAGGAGCGAAAGCAUGGGUAGCGAACAGG
Molecule: ribosomal RNA, 420 nt
Filed under: bacterium
Lineage: Bacteria
Description: partial 16S ribosomal RNA
Rfam family: Bacterial small subunit ribosomal RNA
Source: RNAcentral